AUUGAACGCUGGCGGCAUGCCUUACACAUGCAAGUCGAACGGUAACGCGGGGCAACCUGGCGACGAGUGGCGAACGGGUGAGUAAUAUAUCGGAACGUGCCCAAUAGUGGGGGAUAGCCCGGCGAAAGCCGGAUUAAUACCGCAUACGACCUGAGGGUGAAAGCGGGGGAUCGCAAGACCUCGCGCUAUUGGAGCGGCCGAUAUCAGAUUAGGUAGUUGGUGGGGUAAAGGCCUACCAAGCCUACGAUCUGUAGCUGGUCUGAGAGGACGACCAGCCACACUGGGACUGAGACACGGCCCAGACUCCUACGGGAGGCAGCAGUGGGGAAUUUUGGACAAUGGGCGCAAGCCUGAUCCAGCCAUGCCGCGUGAGUGAAGAAGGCCUUCGGGUUGU
This 394-nucleotide ribosomal RNA is filed under the name uncultured bacterium. RNAcentral describes it as "bacterial SSU rRNA". It matches the Rfam family "Bacterial small subunit ribosomal RNA", at positions 30 to 426 of the family's 1533-position model. The record is from RNAcentral.